Molecule: non-coding RNA, 27 nt
Filed under: Mus musculus (house mouse)
Lineage: Eukaryota; Metazoa; Chordata; Mammalia; Rodentia; Muridae
Source: RNAcentral
UUCAAAGAAAACAAGAACUGAUGGGUA